Molecule: ribosomal RNA, 520 nt
Filed under: Pseudoanthostomella delitescens
Lineage: Eukaryota; Fungi; Ascomycota; Sordariomycetes; Xylariales
Also listed under: 1 other name
Description: eukaryotic LSU rRNA
Rfam family: 5.8S ribosomal RNA (bases 200-353)
Source: RNAcentral
UACUGAGCUUACCAAACUCCAAACCCAUGUGAACUUACCAAUGUUGCCUCGGCGGGAAGCCUACCCUGCAGCUACCCUGUAGCAACUACCCUGUAGUAGUUACCCUGUAACAGCUACCUGGUAGGCAGAUGGCGAGCCGCCAGAGGACCACUAAACUCUUGUUAUUUUGUCACUCUGAGUAUUAAAACAAAUAAGUUAAAACUUUCAACAACGGAUCUCUUGGUUCUGGCAUCGAUGAAGAACGCAGCGAAAUGCGAUAAGUAAUGUGAAUUGCAGAAUUCAGUGAAUCAUCGAAUCUUUGAACGCACAUUGCGCCCAUUAGUAUUCUAGUGGGCAUGCCUGUUCGAGCGUCAUUACGACCCUCAAGCCUUAGUUGCUUGGUAUUGGGAGCUUACCCUGUAGUAACUCCUCAAAGUCAGUGGCAGAGCUGUGGAACACUCUAAGCGUAGUAAUUCUUCUCGCUUCUGUAGUGGCCUCGGCGAUCGCCAUAAACCUAUUAUUUUUAAAGGUUGACCUUCGG